CCUACGGGUGGCUGCAGUGGGGAAUAUUGCACAAUGGGCGCAAGCCUGAUGCAGCCAUGCCGCGUGUGUGAAGAAGGCCUUCGGGUUGUAAAGCACUUUCAGCGGGGAGGAAGGCGGUGAGGUUAAUAACCUCAUCGAUUGACGUUACCCGCAGAAGAAGCACCGGCUAACUCCGUGCCAGCAGCCGCGGUAAUACGGAGGGUGCAAGCGUUAAUCGGAAUUACUGGGCGUAAAGCGCACGCAGGCGGGCUGUCAAGUCGGAUGUGAAAUCCCCGGGCUCAACCUGGGAACUGCAUUCGAAACUGGCAGGCUAGAGUCUUGGAGAGGGGGGUAGAAUUCCAGGUGUAGCGGUGAAAUGCGUAGAGAUCUGGAGGAAUACCGGUGGCGAAGGCGGCCCCCUGGACAAAGACUGACGCUCAGGUGCGAAAGCGUGGGGAGCAAACAGGAUUAGAUACCCGGGUAGUC
This 465-nucleotide ribosomal RNA is filed under the name uncultured Klebsiella sp. Its description in RNAcentral is "bacterial SSU rRNA". It matches the Rfam family "Bacterial small subunit ribosomal RNA", at positions 338 to 795 of the family's 1533-position model. The record is from RNAcentral. Lineage: Bacteria; Pseudomonadati; Pseudomonadota; Gammaproteobacteria; Enterobacterales; Enterobacteriaceae.